This 192-nucleotide small RNA is filed under the name Arabidopsis thaliana (thale cress). RNAcentral describes it as "ATSL273140". Lineage: Eukaryota; Viridiplantae; Streptophyta; Magnoliopsida; Brassicales; Brassicaceae. The record is from RNAcentral.
UCGAGCAUUUGGUCAAUGAAUGGUAAAGGAAAAUGAUCUUUCCUAGAUGCAACAUUCAACUUCCUAUAAUCAAUGCACAUUCUAUGACCAGUUAUAGUUCUAAUAGGGAUCAGUUCAUCCUUUUCAUUUUUAACAACAGUCAUUCCACCCUUUUUAGGGACGCAAUGCACUGGAGAAACCCAAGUACUAUCA